RNAcentral lists this ribosomal RNA (497 nucleotides) under uncultured bacterium. RNAcentral describes it as "partial 16S ribosomal RNA". It matches the Rfam family "Bacterial small subunit ribosomal RNA", at positions 28 to 507 of the family's 1533-position model. The record is from RNAcentral.
GAUGAACGCUGGCGGCGUUCCUAAUACAUGCAAGUCGAGCGAACAGACGAGGAGCUUGCUCCUCUGACGUUAGCGGCGGACGGGUGAGUAACACGUGGAUAACCUACCUAUAAUACUGUGAUAACUUCGGGAAACCGGAGCUAAUACCGGAUAAUAUAUUGAACCGCAUGGUUCAAUAGUGAAAGACGGUUUUGCUGUCACUUAUAGAUGGAUCCGCUCCGCAUUAGCUAGUUGGUAAGGUAACGGCUUACCAAGGCAACGAUGCGUAGCCGACCUGAGAGGGUGAGCGGCCACACUGGAAGUGAGACACGGUCCAGACUCCUACGGGAGGCAGCAGUAGGGAAUGCUUGGCAAUGGGGGAAAGCCUGACGGAGCAACGCCGAGUGAGUGAUGAAGGUCUUCGGAUCGUAAAACUCUGUUAUUAGGGAAGAACAGAUGUGUAAGUAACUAUGCAAGUCUUGACGGUACAGAAUAAGAAAGAGACGGCUAACUACGUG